GGCUAGGAUAGCUCAACUGGUAGAAUAUGAGACUCUUAAACACAGGGCUGUGGGUACAAACCCCACGUUGGGUA
This is a non-coding RNA of Podarcis lilfordi (Lilford's wall lizard), 74 nucleotides long. The record is from the annotation of a GenBank genome assembly. NCBI's taxonomy places the organism in Eukaryota, Metazoa, Chordata, Lepidosauria, Squamata, Lacertidae.